This 431-nucleotide ribosomal RNA is filed under the name uncultured bacterium. RNAcentral describes it as "partial 16S ribosomal RNA". It matches the Rfam family "Bacterial small subunit ribosomal RNA", at positions 29 to 507 of the family's 1533-position model. The record is from RNAcentral.
AACGAACGCUGGCGGCAUGCCUAACACAUGCAAGUCGAACGAGACCGUCGGGUCUAGUCGCGCACGGGUGCGUAACGGGGGGGAACAUGCCCUUGGGUUCGGCCUAACUUCCCGAAAGGGGUGCUAAUAGCGGAUAAUGUCUUCGGACCAAAGAUUUAUCGCCUGUGGGUGGGCCCACGUUGGAUUAGCUAGUUGGUAGGGUAAAAGCCUACCAGGGCGACGAUCGAUAGCUGGUCUGAGAGGAGGAUCAGCCACCCUGGGACUGAGGCACGGCCCAGACUCGUACGAGGGGCAGAAGCGGGGAAUAGUGGACAAGGGGCGAGAACGAGGUCCAGCAGUGCGGAGUGAGUGUUGAUGGCGGAAGGGUUGUAAUGCUCUUUUACCCGGGGGGAAUGAGGGUACCGGAAGAAAAAACGCCGGGGAACUCCGUG